GACAGCCUCACCUGGUGGCCCCACCUAGGAGAGAUUCCCCACAUUUCCGAUCCCCGCCGUACGCCGCCGCCGCACAUCUCCACCUCCCCCGCACCGGCGACAACCUGCGCGACCAGGCGACCCUCCCGGCAGCCCGCAUCUCAGACGCCCCCACCAAACCCACCUCACUGGCGCAGCCCCAUCGACCCUAUUUCUUCCCCGCCGCCGCUUCCUCGCGCCUCCAUUUCCGCAUCCGUGCUGCUCGCCUUCCGGCAGCCCGUUGAAGAUGGCGGAAAGGCUCACCGGACGAUGAACCAGCCUUCGCUGCUCGUUCGCGUCGCGGCAUCAAUCAAGCCCAUCGACGGCCAACUCCUUGCCGUCCCCGGUCGCCACCAUGGAGGGCAAGGGUCCGAGCGACCCAAGGGAUGGGGACGCAGAUGCGUGGUCCUGACGGUCGGAGCGACUACGGCUCUGCACCCUUGGACUCCUUCGAUGGCCGCGCUUCCGCCGAACCAUAGAGGCCCCGCGACUGUUUCCAGAGGCGUCGUCCAUCCUCAAGGGUUCUGCGCUUCCCUGGACGAUCGGCCUGUCGUUGUCGCCGGCCCCACCUGGGAACGUGUGUGUUCGUUAAACCGGGUCGUCGAUCUCUCUGGUCUCAUCUGCUGAGGAAUAGACACGUGAAAAGGCAAGAAAAAAAGAACUCCUCGCAGCAAGGCGGUGCCGCUCUGCCCAUCGGGCAUCUCUAUCUUGCCUCUCCCGCGGCGAAGCACUGGACCGCCAGCGACUCGUUGUCCCUCGAGCAGAAGGAGGCGACGACCGCCGAGGAGGUGCGGGGGCUGCAGGAGGCUGCCACGGGAUUUACGGUGCGCAUGUACCACGGGAUUAAGUUGCUAAGUUGCUUUAUUAUCUGUUCAGGUUCAUCCGAGUGUUAUUUUUUUCUAAGUUGCGGCAUACAAUAGUUUGUUGGUUCGCACAUGUGAUAAGUUGCUUUAUCAUCAACAACGUCUGGGGACCAUUGGAACUUCAGCCUUUUGUAUCAAAAUCUCCAAUAUACUAUACAGCUGCUUGUGUCUUUUGUUCUCCACUUUUGUUCUCCAGAGAAAAUGUUGUACAGUGGUACAUGUCAAGCGCGUCGCUACUCCCUGAUGCCAAUUAUUCAGAUAUUCAGGUAAAGUGCUUCCUUAUUGGUUGGCCUAGACCUGCUGCAGUUCAACAACAUCUUGGAUUAGAAAAGAUUCAGAGGUUUGGCUUUGAGUUGGGAGGAUUUUUUUUUCCUUUUUCAUGUACAAUAAUAUAACUUGAUUUGUUGAUUCUAUCCCAUGAAUCAAGUUGCUUAGAAACGUUUUUAAAGCUC
Lolium perenne is the source of this 1333-nucleotide long non-coding RNA. RefSeq lists it as uncharacterized. The record is from RefSeq and is a predicted model, not a curated record. Lineage: Eukaryota; Viridiplantae; Streptophyta; Magnoliopsida; Poales; Poaceae.